RNAcentral lists this ribosomal RNA (96 nucleotides) under uncultured bacterium. RNAcentral describes it as "partial 16S ribosomal RNA". It matches the Rfam family "Bacterial small subunit ribosomal RNA", at positions 258 to 353 of the family's 1533-position model. The record is from RNAcentral.
UAACGGCCCACCAGCUUCGAUGGAUAGGGGUUCUGAGAGGAAGGUCCCCCACAUUGGAACUGAGACACGGUCCAAACUCCUACGGGAGGCAGCAUG